This 150-nucleotide unclassified non-coding RNA is filed under the name Oryza sativa (Asian cultivated rice). RNAcentral describes it as "partial microRNA MIR434 precursor". The record is from RNAcentral. Lineage: Eukaryota; Viridiplantae; Streptophyta; Magnoliopsida; Poales; Poaceae.
CCCAUAGCACAACACUAGUAUUUGGGAGGCAACUACACGUUGGGCGCUCGAUCCAGGGGUGGGAAAAUCGGGCGCCCACGUUUUCCCCACCCCCGGAUCGAGCGCCCAAGCGGUAGUUGUCUCCCAAAUACUUGUGCUGUGCAUGCAUGC